This 481-nucleotide ribosomal RNA is filed under the name uncultured bacterium. RNAcentral describes it as "bacterial SSU rRNA". It matches the Rfam family "Bacterial small subunit ribosomal RNA", at positions 28 to 524 of the family's 1533-position model. The record is from RNAcentral.
GACGAACGCUGGCGGCGUGCCUAACACAUGCAAGUCGAACGAGAUCCAUGGGAGCUUGCUCCCGGAAGAUCUAGUGGCGAACGGGUGAGUAACACGUGAGAAACCUGCCCUGGAGUGGGGAAUAACUCGGGGAAACUCGAGCUAAUACCGCAUACCCUCGGAUGGUCGCAUGGCCGACCGAGGAAAGAUUUAUCGCUCUAGGAGGGUCUCGCGGCCUAUCAGCUAGUUGGUGGGGUAACGGCCUACCAAGGCAACGACGGGUAGCUGGUUUGAGAGAACGAUCAGCCACACUGGGACUGAGACACGGCCCAGACUCCUACGGGAGGCAGCAGUGGGGAAUCUUGCGCAAUGGGCGAAAGCCUGACGCAGCAACGCCGCGUGCGGGAUGACGGCCUUCGUGGUUGUAAACCGCUUUCAGCAGGACGAAAUGACGGUACCUGCAGAGAAGCCCGGCUAACUACGUGCCAGCAGCCGCGGUAAU